UUCAGUUGAAUGAAGACCGUACCGUAAACCGACACAGGUGGGUAGGAUGAGAAUUCUAAGGCGCUUGAGAGAACUCAGGAGAAGGAACUCGGCAAAAUAGCACCGUAACUUCGGGAAAAGGUGUGCCCUUUGUAUGUGUAGCGCCUCGCGCGUGAAGCAGAAUAGGGUUGCAAUGAAAUGGUGGCUGCGACUGUUUAAUAAAAACAUAGCACUCUGCAAAACACGAAAGUGGACGUAUAGAGUGUGACGCCUGCCCGGUGCCGGAAGGUUAAAUGAUGGGGUGCAAGCUCUUGAUUGAAGCCCCGGUAAACGGCGGCCGUAACAAUAACGGUCCUAAGGUAGCGAAAUUCCUUGUCGGGUAAGUUCCGACCUGCACGAAUGGCGUAACGAUGGCCACACUGUCUCCUCCUGGGACUCAGCGAAGUUGAAAUGUUUGUGAAGAUGCAAUCUCCCCGCGGCUAGACGGAAAGACCCCGUGCACCUUUACUGUAGCUUUACAUUGGACUUUGAUAACAUUUGUGUAGGAUGGGUGGGAGGCUUUGAAGUGGAUUCGCCAGAAUUCAUGGAGCCAACGUUGAAAUACCACCCUGAUGUUGUUGAGGUUCUAACCUAGAUCCAUUAUCUGGAUUGGGGACCGUGUAUGGUAGGCAGUUUGACUGGGGCGGUCUCCUCCCAAAUUGUAACGGAGGAGUACGAAGGUACGCUAGGUACGGUCGGAAAUCGUGCUGAUAGUGCAAUGGCAAAAGCGUGCUUGACUGCGAGACUGACAAGUCGAGCAGAUGCGAAAGCAGGUCAUAGUGAUCCGGUGGUUCUGUAUGGAAGGGCCAUCGCUCAACGGAUAAAAGGUACGCCGGGGAUAACAGGCUGAUUCCUCCCAAGAGUUCAUAUCGACGGGGGAGUUUGGCACCUCGAUGUCGGCUCAUCACAUCCUGGGGCUGUAGCCGGUCCCAAGGGUAUGGCUGUUCGCCAUUUAAAGUGGUACGUGAGCUGGGUUUAAAACGUCGUGAGACAGUUUGGUCCCUAUCUGCCGUGGGCGUUGGAAGUUUGAGUGGACCUGCUCCUAGUACGAGAGGACCGGAGUGGACGCACCUCUGGUGUACCGGUUAUGACGCCAGUCGUAUCGCCGGGUAGCUAUGUGCGGAAGAGAUAACCGCUGAAAGCAUCUAAGCGGGAAACUCUCCUCAAGAUGAGACUUCCCGAGGGUUUAACCCUCCUAAAGGUUCGUCGAAGACUACGACGUUGAUAGGUCGGGUGUGGAAGCAUAGUGAUAUGUUAAGCUAACCGAUACUAAUUGACCGUGAGGCUUGAUCCU
Molecule: ribosomal RNA, 1312 nt
Filed under: metagenome
Description: bacterial LSU rRNA
Rfam family: Bacterial large subunit ribosomal RNA
Source: RNAcentral